ACUGUUGGCUCGGAGUAACCCCGCCCCUUCCUGUCGGUGGGAGCUCCGUCUGCGCGCUCACGCCUAGCUCAAGCUAGCAUUAGCGGCGCAAAAAUGACGACGAGCAAAAUUGGAUAAAUUUAUCCGCACAGUUUUGAGCCAGAGGCCAGCUUAGACGAGGAAAAUAAAGAUAUACGUGGUACAAGUGGAUGCAGCAGAAUUAUGUGGAGAAGAGAGGCACCAAUUUCAGUAAGUAAGUGCGUCAUUAGUCUGAGUUUUUCCCAAGCAUCCGGUUUACAAGGGCGUGUCCAGACGGGGGGGGGGUUGUUUAAAUGUGCCACUCCGAGUAACACCCCCUACCACACCUGCAAGGUGACACCACAGUCUAUGGGUGAGACUCUAAAUCUGGGUUCUGUGUUACAUUUUAAACGACGCAUUUUAAGGGGAAUUAUUAGCUCAUAUUUCCGAGCUUCCAUGAACGCAGCACUCAAGUACUGUGUGCGUACCCGCCCCCCGCAUCGUCGGUAUCACACCCUAUAAAAGGCUGGAAAGUUGCGUUGACGGAAGUAAUCAAAAGGAGCCAUAUUCACGGAUCAACAAGUUGGAGCAGGAAAGGUUUCAAAAGAUUGCAGAUAUCUUCAUUAAGAAGCACAAGUUAGAAAACGGAAGGAGAAGGACUGAGAAGCAGCAGCCAUCAGGGUCCACGGUGAGUACUCCAAAUCAAAGUAUGUGUUGGAGAAUAAGAUAAGUGUGAGGAAGUGAUGUUUCUCAUGGAAAUAAGUUUCUAAAUAAAUGCAUUGACAUGGUGAUGUUACCAUUAUUUUCGAACCAUAGACCCUCCGAUCUGCAAUAAAUGGCAAGUCUAUCAGGUGUUCUAGAUGCUUGUCUCCAAUAUUGGCCGGGCUACUUUAAGAUACCAGAUGGGCACAAUGAUGGCCAAGAAGCGCCCAUUCAGUUUUGGGUUUAGACUUUGUGCGGUGGCGUUCACCAAGGAACAUUCUGGUGAGAAAUCUGCACAACAUUUUGGAGUGCAUCAUAACGCAUCCGAGAAGGCGCAAGCAAAUGAGAAAUAUGGAGGAGAUAGCUACAGAAAAAGGAGCAGACUAUUUCCUGGUUCAGGUGCAAAGACAGCAAUCAACGAAUAAGAAGAACUGGUUUGUACAUGGAUUAUUGAGCAAAGACGGAAAGGCCUGUGUCUCCAAGAAAAUGAUUCACAUCAAAGCGAAGAAGAUUUUUAAAACAGAUUGAUGAUGUUUCAACAAGAAAAGAAACAUUCACAACCAGUGCUAAUUAGGUCAUAGUACAAUGUUCUCAUCAUUUCAAUUAAUCCUGAAAUGUU
Molecule: long non-coding RNA, 1318 nt
Organism: Oryzias melastigma (Indian medaka)
Lineage: Eukaryota; Metazoa; Chordata; Actinopteri; Beloniformes; Adrianichthyidae
Exons: 2
Source: RefSeq, a predicted model, not a curated record